This 272-nucleotide unclassified non-coding RNA is filed under the name Hevea brasiliensis (rubber tree). Lineage: Eukaryota; Viridiplantae; Streptophyta; Magnoliopsida; Malpighiales; Euphorbiaceae. The record is from RNAcentral.
CACCCGGUGCAUUUAAAAAUUUUCCUACAAAAACAACCCAUACACACAUUCUCAAAACAAGUUGGAUUGGCGACCAAUCCUACGUGGUAAUCCAAAAUUUUGAUACGCUCUGAUUUCACCUCCCAAUGUUGCUGUCACAAUCACCAUCCCCCAUGCUGUUGCCCGCACAGUUUGGUUGCCAUGGCUUCCAUCAACCCAUGACCAAGAAGAAGAACGAGAAGAAGAUGGAGAAGGAGUAGCUGAAAUGGAAGGUGAAUCACCAUACCUUAUGG